GAUGAACGCUGGCGGCGUGCCUAAUACAUGCAAGUCGAGCGAACAGACGAGGAGCUUGCUCCUCUGACGUUAGCGGCGGACGGGUGAGUAACACGUGGAUAACCUACCUAUAAGACUGGGAUAACUUCGGGAAACCGGAGCUAAUACCGGAUAAUAUAUUGAACCGCAUGGUUCAAUAGUGAAAGACGGUUUUGCUGUCACUUAUAGAUGGAUCCGCGCUGCAUUAGCUAGUUGGUAAGGUAACAGCUUACCAAGGCAACGAUGCGUAGCCGACCUGAGAGGGUGAUCGGCCACACUGGAACUGAGACACGGUCCAGACUCCUACGGGAGGCAGCAGUAGGGAAUCUUCCGCAAUGGGCGAAAGCCUGACGGAGCAACGCCGCGUGAGUGAUGAAGGUCUUCGGAUCGUAAAACUCUGUUAUUAGGGAAGAACAAAUGUGUAAGUAACUGUGCACGUCUUGACGGUACCUAAUCAGAAAGCCACGGCUAACUACGUG
Molecule: ribosomal RNA, 497 nt
Filed under: uncultured bacterium
Lineage: Bacteria
Description: partial 16S ribosomal RNA
Rfam family: Bacterial small subunit ribosomal RNA
Source: RNAcentral